This 301-nucleotide ribosomal RNA is filed under the name uncultured bacterium. RNAcentral's name for it is "partial 16S ribosomal RNA". It matches the Rfam family "Bacterial small subunit ribosomal RNA", at positions 509 to 807 of the family's 1533-position model. The record is from RNAcentral.
CAGUAGCCACGGUAAUACAGAGGGUGCGAGCGUUAAUCGGAUUUACUGGGCGUAAAGCGUGUGUAGGUUGUUGUUCAAGUCAGUUGUGAAAUCCCUGGGCUCAACCUGGGAACUGCUUCUGAGACUGAACGACUAGAGUACGGUAAAGGGUGGUGGAAUUUCCGGUGUAGCGGUGAAAUGCGUAGAUAUCGGAAGGAACAUCAAUGGCGAAGGCAGCCACCUGGGCCUGUACUGACACUGAGACACGAAAGCGUGGGGAUCAAACAGGAUUAGAUACCCGCGUAGUCCCUGUCUCUUAUAC